RNAcentral lists this ribosomal RNA (491 nucleotides) under uncultured bacterium. Its description in RNAcentral is "bacterial SSU rRNA". It matches the Rfam family "Bacterial small subunit ribosomal RNA", at positions 26 to 518 of the family's 1533-position model. The record is from RNAcentral.
AGGACGAACGCUGGCGGCGUGCCUAACACGUGCAAGUCGAGCGGAGUUGACAAGAGGAAGUUUCGGAUGGAAUUUGUAAUUAGCGGCGGACGGGUGAGUAACGCGUGAGCGACCAACCUUGCACAGGGGGGUAACGGACCGAAAGGUUCACUAAUACCGCAUGAGACCACGGUGUUGCAUGACACAGGGGUCAAAGGAGCAAUCCGGUGCAAGACGGGCUCGCGUCCGAUUAGGUAGUUGGAGGGUAACGGCCCACCAAGCCUAUGAUCGGUAGCCGACCUGAGAGGGUGAUCGGCCACAUUGGAACUGAGAUACGGUCCAAACUCCUACGGGAGGCAGCAGUGGGGAAUAUUGGGCAAUGGGGGGAAACCCUGACCCAGCAACGCCGCGUGAAGGAAGAAGGUUUUCGGAUUGUAAACUUCUGUCCUUGGUGAAGAGAAGAAGACGGUAGCCAAGGAGGAAGCCCCGGCUAACUACGUGCCAGCAGCAGC